Molecule: non-coding RNA, 236 nt
Organism: Pelobates cultripes (western spadefoot toad)
Lineage: Eukaryota; Metazoa; Chordata; Amphibia; Anura; Pelobatidae
Source: the annotation of a GenBank genome assembly
GAACAAUAGGGAUUGCAACAUAACUGGCACCUAGGUGUCUGUACCUGAGCAGGUAAUUUAAUUAGUGGCUAGACACUUUUGAGCCUGUUAACAGUUUUACAUUAAACAUGGGAUUCCUGUGCCCACAUCUACAAACAAAUGGUGUCCACAGAAAGCUAUCUUCUGAGCACCCACUCUGUCCAAAAAUCGCUGAGAUUGGAGGUGGCUUGCCCACGUUAGCUGAAAGUAAAGUUUUG